Molecule: ribosomal RNA, 429 nt
Filed under: Chloroflexota bacterium
Lineage: Bacteria; Bacillati; Chloroflexota
Description: Chloroflexi bacterium partial 16S ribosomal RNA
Rfam family: Bacterial small subunit ribosomal RNA
Source: RNAcentral
UGGGGAAUAUUGCACAAUGGGCGCAAGCCUGAUGCAGCCAUGCCGCGUGUAUGAAGAAGGCCUUCGGGUUGUAAAGUACUUUCAGCGGGGAGGAAGGGAGUAAAGUUAAUACCUUUGCUCAUUGACGUUACCCGCAGAAGAAGCACCGGCUAACUCCGUGCCAGCAGCCGCGGUAAUACGGAGGGUGCAAGCGUUAAUCGGAAUUACUGGGCGUAAAGCGCACGCAGGCGGUUUGUUAAGUCAGAUGUGAAAUCCCCGGGCUCAACCUGGGAACUGCAUCUGAUACUGGCAAGCUUGAGUCUCGUAGGGGGGGGUAGAAUUCCAGGUGUAGCGGUGAAAUGCGUAGAGAUCUGGAGGAAUACCGGUGGCGAAGGCGGCCCCCUGGACGGAGACUGACGCUCAGGUGCGAAAGCGUGGGGAGCAAACAGG